Non-coding RNA from Coturnix japonica (Japanese quail), 2363 nucleotides. Lineage: Eukaryota; Metazoa; Chordata; Aves; Galliformes; Phasianidae. The record is from RefSeq and is a predicted model, not a curated record.
GAAAAUUGCUAUGGGUUUUUGACUUGCCAAAACCAUCUGCUCCGAAGUUGUCUUCAUCUGUGAACACCUGAUGAAAUGACAUGUCAGAAGGGUCAGAAAUAAAAAUACUACCUGCUGUCUAGAAGGCAGAAGCAGCCACAGGCAGUUUGGAAUGUUAUUCCAGUUCUUCUGAACAGUAGAAGCAGUGCAAAGUGAUCAGCGAUGGAGACCGAGGAGUGGAGUGUGGAAGAAGCAAAAUUUAAGCAAAAACUUCUGAAGUCAACUAAGGGAACAGUAUAUUUUUAUUGUAAUGAUAUCUUCUAUGCUCUUUAUCUUCCCCAAUGAUAGAAAAAGCUUGAAGAACUGAUUAAAUGACUCUUGGGAUAACUUUUUGAUCAGGUAAUAUAAAUUGCCAUGAAAGCUGGAGAAGGCAAUAAGGGAGCUAAGAUUCCUCCAACCCACUCAGAGAUUUAAAAUCAAAUCUUGAAGCACGGAUAAAAAUAUAUACAGAAGGAAUGAAAAACAAUGAGCGCUAACACCUCCUACAAUAUUUCCCACAUUAUUUUUCUUUUUGUUGACCACAGCUAUGAUGUUUUCUUCAUAAUUUUGAAGUCAAACUCAUAAGAAAAAUGUGACAACUAUUUUUUUCUUUCUUUCUUUUGGGCUUGUUUAUUUGUUUUAAGCCCACCAGGCUUUUAAGUUGAAGGUGUCACUGCAGAACACUACAAUACGUUUACAAUGGUGAAUUCUCAGUCAGUGUAAAUACAUUUUAAAUUACUUUUUGAUGCAUUUUGGCUUGCUUGCAAUUCAUUCUUGCACAUUCUCAAUUGAAUUAUUUAUUAAUCUCUGGCAGUUGUAUUGACGGGAUUAUACAGACAUCUCUGAAGACAUUCGAUGAAGAAACUGAACAAAGCUGGCCUGGAGAGACAAAGCUCCACAAAUCAAUUAGCUCUUUGUUGCCAGCAGUGAUAGAGGGAGAAAGCCUGUCUUGAGCUUGCACGCUUGACAAUGGUGCCAGCUGUUGCUUAUAAGCAGUGAGAUGGUGAUUGCCACUCUCAUGUAAUUCCUCAGGCAGCACCACUGCCUUGUGGUGCUGACUGAGGAAUUACAUGAGAGUGGCAGGGAGGGAAAAAGAUGUGACUCCUCUCCUUGAGAGUGGUAGUUCAUGUUUAUUAACCAGUCCCUGAUGGUAUGUUUUUUAUUUAGAUUUAAUAUUUAACAAAACACCUGUGCAAAAGCCCAAGAUCCACUUUAGAAGUAAUUAGAUUUGCAAUUGCUGCCCAGCAGCACAGGGAUGAAUAUACCAAUAAAUAAACUCUGCUAGCCUAUGCCAGUGAAAACAGCAAUUUAGCCCAGCAGAUGAAAAUAGGAGAAUUGCAAUGAGGCCUCUCAUUUCCAAAGCCAUCCAGGAAGAGGUAUUCAGCCUUUCUCAAAUGCUUUGGCCUAAGGUUGGUGUUGUUCCUGGCAAGGGAUCUGCACUGGAUUGUUUCAGGUGAGUGGAGGAUACCCCCAUGCUUCUGGCGUUCUCCUGGAGAGCAUCCUGCAGGCCAGCUUUGUUCUUCCUGCUCCAGAGAUCUUUGCUGGGUACAACUGUGACUGGGGCAGUAACUGGGAGGGAAAUGGUGUGCUGAGUUGUUUGUCUCCUGAAAGCACUCUGAGUGCCAGCAUCCAGAGACAGAAAGGGUCCUGUAUUGUGCAAUGUGUUCCCUUUGCCUGGUGAGUUUUCUGCUUUGUGAUGUGAUGUGGUUGUCUUCAUUUCUGAGGUCAAGAAACAGGGUGAUCUCCUUUAGAUUUUCAGCACAGUUGCACUUUGACAGCCAAAGGACUGGAGGGGUGAUAGACAUGCCAAGCUCUACAGCAGUUUCUAAAGUUUUGGGUUUGAACUAUGAUAGCUGAAGUUUAGAUGUAGCCCCUUAUCCAGCAAGCAUGUGUUGGAAGGCUGUCGUGUGCAUUUAUUGUCAUUAUCUACUGAUAAGUGUAAAAGGAUACUGCUUUAGAAACUGUGAAUGCUUUAGAAAUGUGAAUACUUCAUGUUUUAUGAAGGCUAUCAGCAGGAAAAAAACAGCCAACUGCAUCAUUGGCAUUCUUAGAAAUAAUAAUAUGAGGAAAUUCAUUGGUACCUUCAGAUUAAACAAAUGUAAAUGUAGACAUUUAUUUUUCAACUGGUUUUCCUAACAAUUCCCUUGCUUAUAUGCAGAUGGACUACAUAAUUUAUACAUGGAUUACUUACACAGACUAGAGCGUGGAUGGGCAGUUUGUAGGCAUGGAAUAAUGAACUCGGAGAAACAUGUCUACCAGCUUUUAAAAUAAUCUUCCCCAGGAAGCUUAUCCAUAGCCUGGUGUCCACUGCUGCAUCCUCCUUCUGCCCUGUUCCAGUGGUGGUA